UUGAGUUUUAAUCAAAAAGCGUAAAAAUGGCUACUCCUAAAUUUGUUAUGAAAAUACACUUUGGAUGGCCUGGGGUAAGCAAAUAAUAAGAAAUUGUUAAUUUUUGUGUUAACUUUGAGAAUGCCGUUACAAUUAAGUUUUUGAAGGUUGAGAUAAUUCUGCAAUGCUAAUGGGACUGUUAAUCAAGUGUUUCUGUUGAUUUUAGAUUAUCAGAUGUUCACUCCCAUCAUUCUGACUCUCGUGGUAAUUAUAUUUGUGGUAGUUCUCUGUUUAGUUUACAUGCGAAAGAGAAAAUCACACAAUUCUGAUGCUGAUGCGGAAAUGCAAAGCACCACAUAUACUACAGAGACGUCGCUGAAUCAACAGGCUGCUGGUGAUUAUGAGGAGAUCACAGAGACCCCGCAGCAGAUCAGCACACACUCCACUUAUUGCAAUGUGAUUAAAACUCAUACAGCCAAUCAAAACCAAGAUCCCCCACCAUAUUCCCUCCUCUCCUUUCAGCCAAGCUGCACCAAACAAUCUCCAAACAACAGCGCUGAUUAGGUUGGAUUAAAAAAUCCAACCCAGGCUCAUUCUGAACGUACUCCUAUAUACAUUUCUGAAAAGGGGCAAACACAUUCCAGGAGCUAUGUUUCUUGCAGUUUUUUGUUUUGGCGAAUCCACCAGUGUCCGCUGUGUAUGCUUUUUUAAGAUCUCAUUUUCUCUCAGUAGUGCCAUUCACGCCACCAGAGGCCGCUAUGUGCUGACUGACUGACCAAUCAACUGACCCAGCCUCCUCCUUCCCUAAACCCAACCAAUAGUGUUUUAAAAAGCACCAUUUGACUCACCCACCCACUUCCCCAAACCCAACCAACAGCGAUCCAGAAAAAGUCAAGCCCUCACUCCAGCCUGAUUUUUACAACUUUUCCGAUUUUACCAGACUCGAACCCUGUCAUCGCGGUAAACUCCACUUUACGUCACAAGUCUCCCCACGUACAUGGUCGAGCUACUGAGCAAACUGGUAACAGUGGCACAGCUGUCCACACGGAGGUAAGCGGUCAGCUGGUAAGAGCAAAAAAGGAACAGCGUCAUACCGCCCCAUAGCGCUCAUUUUAAAGACAAAAUGCAGCCAUAUGUUUCUCUGGCUAUAUAAUUGAUGAUCUACAGAAAUUUAUACAGGGGUUUGUUUUCAGAUUGAGCCUACAUUGAAAAAAAUCCCAUAACAUUAUUGUAGCAAUUUACAUUUUUAAUAAACUGUAUUCAUUAAUUCGAUGUUUACAUAUUGCAGCAGAAAAACAGUAUAUUAUUUUACCCUACAGAUGUUUUGUGUAGGCUAUAUCUAUCUAGCAUUUAACUACUAAGCUUUGUUUAUACCCUUGUUAUACUACCAAUUAAGACAGAUAAUGCUAUAGCGUUAAAACAGAUGCAGUGUUGUCUGUGUAAAUGUAAUUUUCAGUAACAAAGGCACAUUUUAACGGAAAAAAAAAAUCAGUUGGCUUGAUAACUAACAAGAGUAACUUUAAAUAUGUUGACCUAUCAUUAUUUUUUUUUAAUAAUUGCUUUUUUACAAUUCUGUUUGCACUUUCUGGCUGCCUACUAAUUGAAACCAAUUAUCAGAGGCAUGUAUGAUUCAUAGAAUUAGUAUGUCUAAGUUAAUUGAUAACAGAUUGUGUGUUUUUUUUUUUUUUGGGG
This is a non-coding RNA of Danio rerio (zebrafish), 1671 nucleotides long. The record is from RefSeq and is a predicted model, not a curated record. Lineage: Eukaryota; Metazoa; Chordata; Actinopteri; Cypriniformes; Danionidae.